UUUCUGAAGUAGAUGGUUCCAGAAUGC
This 27-nucleotide non-coding RNA is filed under the name Cricetulus griseus (Chinese hamster). The record is from RNAcentral. Lineage: Eukaryota; Metazoa; Chordata; Mammalia; Rodentia; Cricetidae.